CAGAGAGAGACAGACAGACAGACACGGGGGGGAGGGGGAGGGCUCUUUUUGGCUCCCUUUGCAUCUUGGUUUCUUCUAAGCUUCUGAGUAUCUCAAACUAGCCGAGAUCACUGGCCAUCUAGACUCCUUGCAGAGUCUGAGGAAAUUUGGCCUCGUUUUUCUGGGGCUGGGGAAUGAGCUCCGGAGGUCAAUAAAGCCCUCCAAAAAUGAUGAAUGAUUGAGCACCUGUGAUGAUAAUAGUGAUUACCAGAGCAAUUAAACAGUUUGAUUAAAUGAGCCAUCAUAACAAUGAUGUCUGCGGGAAAUCGGCCCUCACAUAUAAAGACAGUGUGGAGGGGCUGGCAGAGGCGCUGAGAGCGCGCCGGGAGAAGGGAUGCGGCCCGCGCGGAUUUGGCUCCAUGAGCCAAAGCAGGGGCGGCGGGCUCAGGGAGUUUCUGGGGGCAGUCUAGCCUAGGGUUUCGCUAUUUUUUUCUGCCUGGCUUCAAGCCUAAGACAACCAACUCGUCUGGAACCCGAGGGGCCAUAGGGUCCUUUCCUCCUCCUCUCCUCUUCCCCUCCUUUUUUUCCUCCCUAGAAGAACUCCAAGAUUACAAAUACCCACUUCAUUUGAUGCUGAGUUACUCGUCGACACAUAAGAAAAGGUUAAACAUGAGAGCUGGAGAGAUGACUCAGUGGGGGAAGCACUUGAUUUGAAAGCACCAAGACCUGAGUUCAGACUCCCAGAACCCAGAUAAAGCUUGACACACUAUCACAUCUAUAAUCCCAGUGUUCCUAUGGCAAGAAGACAGGUGGGAAUGGGGCAAUUCCCAGCAACUCUUUGGCCAACUAGCCUCCUGUGACAGUGCUGACAUAACUAGAGACCCUUUCUCAAAAAAGCUGCAAGGUUUUGCAAGAAGAAGCUGCUUGUUCUUUAGGCAGGUGGCUCCCUGUGCUGCAGUUGAGGAGCUUCAAUCAUCACUGACAAGCCCACAAUCCACAAAGUCCUGGGUGUCUCCUCCAGCUAUCGCUGUCUGAAGCUUUUCAAAGGUUUUUGUAGUCCUCUUAGGUCGCUUUUCAUGCAUUCCACAAUGUAAAUGGAAAAGUUCAUCCACACUGACAUGAAGAGCUCCAUUUUGCUGGAACUUUUUGCUUUUUCACCAGAAAUAAUCCUUUCUUUCUUUUGUGUAAGGCUCAGGCUCAUCUACAAAUUCUUGGACUCUUUCUUAGAGAUGCAUAGCCCAGCAAAAUUGAAGCCUCUCCCCCUGAAAUAGACAUCAACCAACAAGUGUGUGCUGCUUUUAAAACCAAGGACAGGUUGUUGGAAAGAAUGAACUUUCUAAGUGGCAAUGUAGAAACAGUAAGCUGGGACCAAGAAGAGUCACUCAUCAACCACUCCUGUUGUUUUUAGGUAGACUUACUAUGCUUUAAAAAUUGUAUUAUUUCAAUAAAACAAUCUACAAAUAAAUACAAAACAAAAGGGCACGUGUAGGGACACAUUGAAAGGAACCAUGCAUACCAAAAAGCUAAGUGCAAAUUGGAUUUGAAUAUUCAUGAGUCACAAAUCAUUGACAGUUUGAAACAAUGCAAAACAGCUUUAUAAAUGAGGUUAAGGCAAGGGACACCAAAGGAAUGCAUCAUUAAAUCAAUAGAAGUUUGUGUAUGUACUUGUAAAUUGUGGUUACAGUGUUUGUGACAUGGGAGAAAAAAUACUGUGGAUCUGAUGAAGAGGGUUGACACAUAAAUAUUCCCUCUGCAUGUUAUAUUUUUGCAGUUCAUCAUGUGCUUGGAACUGAGCCAGGUAGAGAGUGGUUGGACAUUGUACUUCCUGCUCAAGAAAGAGUUUCCUUGUGCAGACAGUGAGUUUCAGACCUCUGCCCGGACAGUCUUUAUUUGCCCUGCUAAAAAGUAUUAAACAUACAACCAUUCACACAGUUGAUUCCUAAAGCAGAGGUUAGCACGUAGCAUACAUAACUUUGGAGAAUGACAGCCUUAAAUCAGUUCGUGGGAGCUCCCACCAGAGAGCACGGGAUCUUAGAGAAUGCUCUAAUGCUUAGAAGGGCACAGAGGGGAAAAAUAGCUUUGUGAAGAGUUUGUAAGAAUCUCUUGAUAACAAAGCAAGAACAUUCGCUAACAAUGAGAAAUCAUACAGUAAAAUAAUUGAAGUUGCAAAAUGUUGGCAACCCAGCAGUUCUAUUGGAAGUGUUUUUGUUUUGUUCAGCAGUGACUCUUCACUUGUAGGACCCCGACUGUGGCUGUAGGGAACACGUAGCCUGUGGUUGGAGUCAUAUUUGAGACAGUAGGACUUACAAACCUAAGCCAUCUUAGGGCUUGUGUUAACAUAGGGACACUUCUAAGUUAAGCAGCUUCUCUUAGAAGCUUACUUUGGGUGAUCUGUAAGUUAUGAAGCAUUUCUCUAAGAUGCUGCUCAGCAAAUCUCUUUCUCAUAUCCCAUCUCCGGUUCUUGGAUGAUGGCUGAAGUGGGUGCCACAGCAUGAAAAUCAGGGUGCACAUGGUACCAAUUUGGAAGAAGCUGAAGAAUGUGGUCAGUUUAGAAAAUUCUUCUAUAUCUUUUUGCUGGGCCAUCCUUUAAGGCAGACAUUCAAAUUCAGGAUCUACAAUUCAGCUGAGACAUGACUCAUGAGAAAGAGAUGUCAGCAUUUCUCCAGUUCACUGCCAUGUAGACAAAGAAGCUAACGUGACCCAUGUGUUAACCAUAAUCAAGGACAGCCAUAAGAAAACAAUACAAACAAUAACUUAAUUUUUAAUGAAUGAUUUUUUUUUGUGACCGGGCAAGGUUUCAUAUAUACCUACACUGGACUCAAAUGAAUUUUCUUGUGGCUAAGGAGGUGAUUCAGUGGGUAACAGUGCUUGUAUGUAACCAUGAGGACCUGAGUUCAAAUCCUAGUACCAUGUAAAAAGUUAGGUAUGGCUAUGUGUGCCUGUAACCUCAGCACUGGGAGACAGAGAUACACGGAUCUCAAAUCUCAGGAAGCUUUCUGGCCAGCUAGCCUAGCCAAAAUGGUGACCUUGUGUUUUCAUUGAGAGUCUAUUAAAGACAUAAAGCAGAGGGCAAUAGAGGAAGAAAGACACCUUGUGUCCUUGUUUGGUGUUUUCCCUCUGGCCUCUGUAUUGCUUGCCUGCAUACCCACAUACGCAGAUCACAUAAUACAGUAUGUACAUACAUGUACAUCCCAAAAUAGAAAUUAACUAAAGAGUGAAAAACUUAUUAAUUAGGUUUCAAAAUGUCACUAUGUAUCCAAGGAUGUUCUUGAACAACUGCUCUUCACGUCUCUAUGCCUCAAGUGUUAGGAUUCUAGGCUAGCCCCACCAUAGCUGCCUCACACAGUGCUGGGGACUGAACUUUGGACAUCUCACAUACUAAGCAAGCACUCUGCCAUCCAGGCACAUUCCUACCCCCUUUAAUGUCUGACUGAGUUUCUCUGUGUAACAGCCCUGGAUAUCCACCUUCAUUUUCAUUAAGCCAUAGGCCCAAACUUCCUUGACAAGGGUAAUUUGUAAUACCUAUACAUUUGGUAAUUUUCAAAUAAGUGCUCUCUCUCUCUCUCUCUCUCUCUCUCUCUCUCUCUGUGUGUGUGUUUAAAUUGCUUAACAUCUAAGUUAAACACAGUAUCUGUGUUGAUCAAGGAAUCUAAGUAUUGUCUUCCUCAUAGGACUUUAGGUGAGAAGAAAUUCAUUUUCAUUUUUUUGUCAUCUGAUUAUUUUAUUGUUUUUUUUUGUCUGUGUUAUGGAUUGAACCCAGGGUCUUGUGCACACUAGGCAAGUGCUCCAUUCCUGAGAUGCACCCAUAGCUGUUC
Cricetulus griseus (Chinese hamster) is the source of this 3794-nucleotide non-coding RNA. Lineage: Eukaryota; Metazoa; Chordata; Mammalia; Rodentia; Cricetidae. The record is from RefSeq and is a predicted model, not a curated record.